UGAGGAAUAUUGGGCAAUGCCCGAAAGGGUGACCCAGCAACGCCGCGUGGAGGAUGAAGGUCGUAAGAUUGUAAACUCCUGUUAGAGGGGAAGAAUAACUAAGUUUGGAGCUUAGUAUGACUGUACCCUCAGAGAAAGCCCCGGCUAACUACGUGCCAGCAGCCGCGGUAAUACGUAGGGGGCAAGCGUUGUCCGGAUUUACUGGGUGAAAAGGGCGCGCAGGCGGAAUGGAAAGUCAGUGGUGAAAUCCUACAGCUUAACUGUAGAACUGCCUUUGAUACUUUCAUUCUUGAGUUCGGGAGAGAGAGACGGAAUUCCAGGUGUAGUGGUGAAAUACGUAGAUAUCUGGAAGAACACCAGUUGCGAAGGCGGUCUCUUGGUCCGAUACUGACGCUGAGGCGCGAAAGCGUGGGGAGCAAACA
This 422-nucleotide ribosomal RNA is filed under the name uncultured bacterium. RNAcentral describes it as "bacterial SSU rRNA". It matches the Rfam family "Bacterial small subunit ribosomal RNA", at positions 355 to 774 of the family's 1533-position model. The record is from RNAcentral.